RNAcentral lists this small RNA (53 nucleotides) under Plasmodium falciparum 3D7. RNAcentral's name for it is "Pfa-starR6418". The record is from RNAcentral. Lineage: Eukaryota; Apicomplexa; Aconoidasida; Haemosporida; Plasmodiidae.
UAAGACCUAUGCUAGUCAAGUUAAGACCUAUAUCAGUGAAUGUAAGACCCAAG